This 468-nucleotide ribosomal RNA is filed under the name uncultured bacterium. Its description in RNAcentral is "partial 16S ribosomal RNA". It matches the Rfam family "Bacterial small subunit ribosomal RNA", at positions 28 to 507 of the family's 1533-position model. The record is from RNAcentral.
GACGAACGCUGGCGGCGUGCUUAACACAUGCAAGUCGAACGGAAAGGCCCUGCUUUUGUGGGGUGCUCGAGUGGCGAACGGGUGAGUAACACGUGAGUAACCUGCCCUUGACUUUGGGAUAACUUCAGGAAACUGGGGCUAAUACCGGAUAGGAGCUCCUGCUGCAUGGUGGGGGUGGGAAAGUUUCGGCGGUUGGGGAUGGACUCGCGGCUUAUCAGCUUGUUGGUGGGGUAGUGGCUUACCAAGGCUUUGACGGAUAGCCGGCCUGAGAGGGUGACCGGCGUCAUUGGGACUAAGAUACGGACCAGACUCCUACAGGAGGCAGCAGUGGGGAAUAUUGCACAAUGGUCGGGAGCCUGAUGCAGCAGCGCCGCGUGCGUGAUGACGGCCUUCUGGUUGUAAACCGCUUUCGCCUGUGACGAAGCGUGAGUGACGGUAAUGGGUAAAGAAGCACCGGCUAACUACGUG